UCUACAUGCUUGCUCGAGCGCCAGUCAGUGUGAUAUGAUAACUGCAGAAUUCUUCCUUAGUUGAUCCUGGCUCUACAUGAACGCUAGCGGCAGGCCUAACACAUGCUAGUCGAGGGGUAACAGGGAGUAGCUUGCUACUUUGCUGACGACCGGUGCACGGGUGCGUAACGCGUAUACAAUCUGCUUUGUACUGGGGGAUAGCCUUUAGAAAUGAAGAUCAAUAUCAAUAGUAUAUGACUGUGGCAUCACAGCCAUAUUAAAAGUUACGGUACAAGAUGAGUAUGCGUCCUAUUAGCUAGAUGGUGUGGUAACGGCACACCAUGGCGACGAUAGGUAGGGGCCCUGAGAGGGGGAUCCCCCACACUGGUACUGAGACACGGACCAGACUCCUACGGGAGGCAGCAGUGAGGAAUAUUGGACAAUGGAGGCAACUCUGAUCCAGCCAUGCCGCGUGCAGGAAGACUGCCCUAUGGGUUGUAAACUGCUUUUAUACGGGAAGAAACACCCCCACGUGUGGGGGCUUGACGGUACCGUAAGAAUAAGCACCGGCUAACUCCGUGCCAGCAGCCGCGGUAAUACGGAGGGUGCAAGCGUUAUCCGGAAUCAUUGGGUUUAAAGGGUCCGUAGGCGGACGAUUAAGUCAGAGGUGAAAGUCUGCAGCUCAACUGUAGAAUUGCCUUUGAUACUGGUUGUCUUGAAUUAUUGGAAGUGGUUAGAAUAAGUAGUGUAGCGGUGAAAUGCAUAGAUAUUACUUAGAAUACCAAUUGCGAAGGCAGAUCACUAACAAUAUAUUGACGCUGAGGGACGAAAGCGUGGGGCGAACAGGGAUUAGAUACCCUGGUAGUCCACGCCGUAAACGAUGGAUACUAGCU
This 872-nucleotide ribosomal RNA is filed under the name uncultured Gilvibacter sp. RNAcentral describes it as "bacterial SSU rRNA". It matches the Rfam family "Bacterial small subunit ribosomal RNA", at positions 1 to 821 of the family's 1533-position model. The record is from RNAcentral. Lineage: Bacteria; Pseudomonadati; Bacteroidota; Flavobacteriia; Flavobacteriales; Flavobacteriaceae.